GUGGGGAAUAUUGGACAAUGGGCGAAAGCCUGAUCCAGCCAUGCCGCGUGUGUGAAGAAGGUCUUCGGAUUGUAAAGCACUUUAAGUUGGGAGGAAGGGCAGUAAGUUAAUACCUUGCUGUUUUGACGUUACCGACAGAAUAAGCACCGGCUAACUUCGUGCCAGCAGCCGCGGUAAUACGAAGGGUGCACGCGUUCAUCGGAAUUACUGGGCGUAAAGCGCGCGUAGGUGGUUUUGUAAGUUGGGGGUGAAAUCCCCGGGCUCAACCUGGGAACUGCCUGCAAAACUGCAUGACUAGAGUACGGUAGAGGGUAGUGGAAUUUCCUGUGUAGCGGUGAAAUGCGUAGAUAUAGGAAGGAACACCAGUGGCGAAGGCGACUACCUGGACUGAUACUGACACUGAGGUGCGAAAGCGUGGGGAGCAAACAGGAUUAGAUACCCGUGUAGUCC
This 450-nucleotide ribosomal RNA is filed under the name uncultured bacterium. RNAcentral's name for it is "partial 16S ribosomal RNA". It matches the Rfam family "Bacterial small subunit ribosomal RNA", at positions 354 to 796 of the family's 1533-position model. The record is from RNAcentral.